Oreochromis niloticus (Nile tilapia) is the source of this 1024-nucleotide long non-coding RNA. RefSeq lists it as uncharacterized. Lineage: Eukaryota; Metazoa; Chordata; Actinopteri; Cichliformes; Cichlidae. The transcript has 3 exons. The record is from RefSeq and is a predicted model, not a curated record.
CACUGCAUGAAAGCAGACAGUCUCCUGUCUCUACCCUGUGACAUACGCUUCUCUUUGACUAAGACUAGAAACCACCUACACUGCAGUCACAGUGUAAAGUCUUAAUAUCCUGUCAUCUAUCUAUCUAUAGUGGAGUUGGAUGUCUCGAGACCGGUAUUGGUCUCGAGACCGGUCUUACGUGGUCUAGGUCUUGUCUUGGUCUCGACGGACUUUGGUCUUGGUCUUGGAUCCCUCGGUCUUGUCUUGGUCUCACUGUCUCGGUCUUGCUUUCUCAGAUCGACAUAGUGGUCGGGAGAUUUGGAGUCAACCAUCGGCGGACAGAGGAGAGCUUAAGUUUGACCAGUUGUUACCCUCCACGGCUAAACAAAGCACUCUCAAUCGGUUUCAGCUAUGAACUGAUGAAUACAACAAUGGACACGAGGGGCUUCUUUCAAAGAAAAAACUCAGGUGUGGACAGGCCUGUGUAACCUGGCUGGUGAGUGGCUGUGGGUGGGUGGAGAACAAGUGCAAUAUGAGGAUAUCCCAAAAUGCCCAACCGAGGGCCUCUGUGGCGUCCUCAAGAAGAAUGGUACUGCAGCCUACGGCAUAAGAAACUGCCGGCAGAAAAGGAACUUUCUCUGUUCAACAUUUAAUUAAGUACCGUACUUAAGUAAAAAUUUGAUAUAUCUGUACUUGACUUUUCUUCUUAUGACACUUAGAUACAUGUGUGUGAAAGUAAACAGGAAAAAUAAUCCAAAGCAGACUCCACAGACAAGAAGGAUUAAACACAAACAAACCUUUAUUCAGGUUUAUCAGUUAGUCCAAAAUUAGAAAUUCCAAGAAGAAUGGGAACAUGACAAACACUGCCAGUCAAAAGCUGUUGAGUUUGUUUGAGUAAUCUUACUUUCAUUCAUGAUGUAUGUUACAAAGAUAACAGUUAAUAUAGUCAGUACAUUGAAAAGGUGAGAAAUAGUGAUGGAAAUAGUUUCAUACUGUUAGAUUAUAUGCUUUAAUAAAUGAACGUAAACAGAAAAAUCUCACAUAA